Molecule: ribosomal RNA, 856 nt
Filed under: uncultured Bacillota bacterium
Lineage: Bacteria; Bacillati; Bacillota
Description: bacterial SSU rRNA
Rfam family: Bacterial small subunit ribosomal RNA
Source: RNAcentral
CAAGUCGAGUGCGCAGUUCUCUGUAGCAAUACAGGGGAUGGGCGCACGGCGCACGGGUGCGUAACACGUGGGCAAUCUGCCCUCGGAUGGGGGAUAACUCGCCGAAAGGCGAGCUAAUACCGCAUGACAUUCCUGGGACUCCGGUCCCGGGACUCAAAGGCCGCAAGGCCGUCUGAGGAGGAGCCCGCGCCCGAUUAGCUAGUUGGUGAGGUAACGGCUCACCAAGGCUUUGAUCGGUAGCCGGUCUGAGAGGAUGGCCGGCCACACUGGAACUGAGACACGGUCCAGACUCCUACGGGAGGCAGCAGUGGGGAAUAUUGCGCAAUGGGCGAAAGCCUGACGCAGCGACGCCGCGUGGGGGAUGAAGCUUCUCGGAGUGUAAACCCCUUUCGACCCGGACGAAUGACCCGCAAGGGUUUGACGGUACGGGUAUAAGAAGCCCCGGCUAACUACGUGCCAGCAGCCGCGGUAAUACGUAGGGGGCCAGCGUUGCUCGGAAUUACUGGGCGUAAAGGGUUCGUAGGUGGUGCGGCAAGUCGGAAGUGAAAUCUCUGGGCUUAACUCAGAGGCUGCUUUCGAAACUGCCGUGCUCGAGUGCGGGAGAGGCCAGUGGAAUUGCAGGUGUAGCGGUGAAAUGCGUAGAUAUCUGCAGGAACACCCGUGGCGAAGGCGGCUGGCUGGACCGCAACUGACACUGAGGAACGAAAGCUAGGGGAGCAAACAGGAUUAGAUACCCUGGUAGUCCUAGCCCUAAACCAUCAGAACUUGGGGUGGCUCGCGUAGGCGAGUCGUCCCGUAGCUAACGCGUUAAGUUCUGCGCCUGGGGAGUACGGUCGCAAGACUGAAACUCAAAGGA